RNAcentral lists this ribosomal RNA (484 nucleotides) under uncultured bacterium. RNAcentral's name for it is "partial 16S ribosomal RNA". It matches the Rfam family "Bacterial small subunit ribosomal RNA", at positions 29 to 523 of the family's 1533-position model. The record is from RNAcentral.
AGUGAACGCUGGCGGCGUGCUUAACACAUGCAAGUCGAACGAGAACGGGCUAUAGCUUGCUAUAGUUGUCAGCUAAGUGGCGCACGGGUGAGUAAUGUAUAGGUAAUAUGCCUCUUACUAAGGGAUAACAAAUGGAAACGUUUGCUAAUACCUUAUACUCCUUAUUAACAGAAGUCAAUAAGGGAAAGAUUUAUCGGUAAGAGAUUAGCCUGUAUUGUAUCAGUUAGUUGGUGGGGUAAUGGCUUACCAAGACUAUGACACAUAACUGGUUUGAGAGGAUGAUCAGUCACACUGGAACUGAGACACGGUCCAGACUCCUACGGGAGGCAGCAGUGGGGAAUAUUGCACAAUGGACGAAAGUCUGAUGCAGCAACGCCGCGUGGAGGAUGACACAUUUCGGUGCGUAAACUCCUUUUAUAUGAGAAGAUAAUGACGGUAUUAUAUGAAUAAGCACCGGCUAACUCCGUGCCAGCCGCCGCGGUAA